Amblyraja radiata (thorny skate) is the source of this 78-nucleotide long non-coding RNA. RefSeq lists it as uncharacterized. The transcript has 3 exons. NCBI's taxonomy places the organism in Eukaryota, Metazoa, Chordata, Chondrichthyes, Rajiformes, Rajidae. The record is from RefSeq and is a predicted model, not a curated record.
UAACACACAGGAGAAUUUUUUGCAGACAUCUUCGUCUCUCAUUACUAAGGUCCGAGGAUCCUAACUGUUUUAAAAGGA